This 539-nucleotide long non-coding RNA is filed under the name Manihot esculenta (cassava). RNAcentral's name for it is "long non-coding RNA (MESC_LNC001870)". Lineage: Eukaryota; Viridiplantae; Streptophyta; Magnoliopsida; Malpighiales; Euphorbiaceae. The record is from RNAcentral.
UUACAUAGUGCCAGGGGCGUAGUGCAGGCCACACCUGGACUUCCAUAUCAUAUCAUCAUGUCAUAACAUAUGAGGGCUAAUGGAUCAUUCAACAUUCAUCCACAUCAACAACAUAUUAUGCAAUGCAACAUAUUCGUGAUUUCUAAUGCAAACAACCUAAAAUAUCACAUGGCAUCCGUGAUGCAUGAACAUGCUCAAAACUGAUUUAUUUAUUUAAAAGCAUAAGAGUUAUUCCACUCACCUCUGGCUAGCUCUGACACUGACUGAAGCAGCUGACUCACUGCUGAGGUCCUCGGUUCCUCGGGUCCGAACCUACACAGGUGGACUCAAAUGAGGGACCAACAUACUAUAACAUGACUCUGAAAACAUCCCCCAAAAACCCUCUAAAACACCUCAAAAUAUCCAUGCAAGAACAUGCAAAGGAAGGCUGGACAGGACACUUUCGGCGGCAGGUUCGGCGGCCGAAAGUCCCUCCAGAGCCGAAAGUCAGGCAGGUUCGGCGGCACCUUCGGCGGCCGAAACUCCCAGACAGAGGCGAA